RNAcentral lists this ribosomal RNA (464 nucleotides) under uncultured bacterium. RNAcentral describes it as "partial 16S ribosomal RNA". It matches the Rfam family "Bacterial small subunit ribosomal RNA", at positions 331 to 792 of the family's 1533-position model. The record is from RNAcentral.
CCAGACUCCUACGGGAGGCAGCAGUGAGGAAUAUUGGUCAAUGGGCGGGAGCCUGAACCAGCCAAGUCGCGUGAGGGAUGACGGCCCUAUGGGUUGUAAACCUCUUUUGCCGGGGAGCAAAGUGCCGCACAUGUGCGGUUUGGAGAGUACCCGGAGAAAAAGCAUCGGCUAACUCCGUGCCAGCAGCCGCGGUAAUACGUAGGUGGCAAGCGUUGUCCGGAUUUACUGGGUGUAAAGGGCGUGUAGCCGGGUUGACAAGUCAGAUGUGAAAUCCUGCGGCUUAACCGCAGAACUGCAUUUGAAACUGUUGAUCUUGAGUACUGGAGAGGCAGACGGAAUUCCUAGUGUAGCGGUGAAAUGCGUAGAUAUUAGGAGGAACACCAGUGGCGAAGGCGGUCUGCUGGACAGCAACUGACGGUGAGGCGCGAAAGCGUGGGGAGCAAACAGGAUUAGAUACCCGGGUA